Molecule: ribosomal RNA, 45 nt
Filed under: Phormidesmis sp. WJT66-NPBG34
Lineage: Bacteria; Bacillati; Cyanobacteriota; Cyanophyceae; Leptolyngbyales; Leptolyngbyaceae
Description: partial 23S ribosomal RNA
Source: RNAcentral
GGUCAAGCUAGAAAGGGCUCAUGGUGGAGACCUAGGCACACAGAG